UUUUUUUGCUUCUCUAGUGGAUUGUAAAUACUUGGAAAAUUAUUAUCAGCUUGUUGCAAAGCUAUCAAAUGAGUUUUGCACAUGUGUUGUUCAUAAUGAACAAGUUUGUUGCAGCUCUAGUUAAAGAUUAGGGAAAAUCAAGGGAUCUUUUGGUUGUGGGGGACAGAUGAAACAUUUAAAUAUCGUUUAUUCAAAUCAAACAGAUUUUCUUCCAUUUGGGAGGGUGGGGAUUUGGAUAUUAGAAAUCCAAGGAUCUUUAAUCAAGCUCUUUUAUGUUACUUCCCCUUUCAGAAAAGAAAAGUUGGAUGGUGAUGAACUAGGAUAUUGUUUUGCUAAAAUGUUCAGAUGACGAACCUUAGAGCUACAUUUUCUGGACUAUCAUGAGUAGUGGCUAGCUGCAUAAAUUAGGAGGGAUGAGGGAAUGUAAUUUAAGGUUUUAUAGAGCUUUCAAUGACCUAGGAGUUUGGUUCAGUUUCUGCUUUAUUGGGUGUGCUCUUCCUGUUGCAGUAUAUAGGAGUAGUGUAGGAUAGUUUGUGUUUGAAGCUGAGGUCUAGCCAAAUCUUUCUACAAAAGACUGUUGAUGGGAUUUACUGCUACCCUUUCUCUUUGAAGAAGAGUUUUGGCAGAUUUAAGCACCCCUAAAAUAUUUGCUUUGUUUCUUUGGACAACAGCUAUUGUUUGCUUUCUUACUGCUGAAAAUGUAAGGAUAUGCAUUUUCUACAAAUUCACAUUUAUACAGUUUCUUUGGUUUUCACUAAAGAUUGCCCUUUGGAUUUUGAUCUGGGGUCAUUGUUUGAAUCUUUUGUCAUCAAGGGAUGAGGGACUCCAUUAACUUUUCUGAACAGUGUUGAAAAAGUAGCUCCUUUCUGUUUUAAAAAGUUAAAAUUUCCAUUACUCCUACUCUAUUCUGAAUCAUUGGAAUCUAAAAAUAUAAUAAAGCUUGAUAUGUAAAAAUCAAUGAAGCUCAUGUAAGUAUUUAUAUUAUUUAAUUGAUUCUUUCACCAGGAUAUACGCGGAGAAAUUAUAAUUUCCUCUUACAUCUCUGAAGAGUGGUGUUUUUUGGGAUGGAUUCAGUCAUAGUAGUGCAUAAUGGUGGAUGUCAUUGUGGAAGAGUGAGAUGGCGAGCCAAAGCACCAAGCAGUGUUGUAGCUUGGAAGUGCAACUGUUCUGAUUGCUCCAUGAGGGGACACAUCCACUUCGUUGUUCCUUCUGAAAGGUUUGAGCUUCUUGGAGAUUCCAAACAAUCCCUCACAACAUACACUUUUGGUACACAUAUGGCUAAGCAUACAUUCUGUAAGGUCUGUGGCAUAACGUCAUUCUAUACUCCUCGAUCAAAUCCAGAUGGAGUUGCAGUUACAUACAGAUGCGUGGAUCCAGGAACACUCACCCAUGUUGAAAUCAAGUAUUAUGAUGGCCAAAAUUGGGAGCGCUCGUACAAUCAAUCUAAUAUUGCUUCAUGUUCAAAGGCAGAUGUGCCAGUUUGAUUAGAAGCAUGUUAUAGUCACUGGUAGCUGGUACGUGCUUGUGCGAAAGUCGCAUGUUUUGGCUCUCAUUGUAUUGUGAGCAUAGAAUAACAUUUUGUUUCUAAAGGGAGGAUAAGAAGGGAACUUUAUUUUUGUAUUUUACCUACAAACCAACCAUUACGAGUGACACUUGUCAGAGACUUCUUUUUUUUUUUUUUCUUU
Molecule: unclassified non-coding RNA, 1685 nt
Filed under: Hevea brasiliensis (rubber tree)
Lineage: Eukaryota; Viridiplantae; Streptophyta; Magnoliopsida; Malpighiales; Euphorbiaceae
Source: RNAcentral